This 490-nucleotide ribosomal RNA is filed under the name uncultured bacterium. RNAcentral's name for it is "bacterial SSU rRNA". It matches the Rfam family "Bacterial small subunit ribosomal RNA", at positions 28 to 513 of the family's 1533-position model. The record is from RNAcentral.
GAUGAACGCUAGCGGCAGGCUUAAUACAUGCAAGUCGAGGGGCAGCACGGUUAGCAAUAACUGGUGGCGACCGGCGCACGGGUGCGUAACACGUAUACAAUCUACCUUAAACAGGGGGAUAGCCUUUCGAAAGAGAGAUUAAUACCCCGUAAUAAAUUGAACGGCAUCGUUUGAUUUUGAAAGCUCCGGCGGUUUGAGAUGAGUAUGCGUCUGAUUAGCUAGUUGGUGAGGUAACGGCUCACCAAGGCGACGAUCAGUAGGGGAUCUGAGAGGACUAACCCCCCACACUGGUACUGAGACACGGACCAGACUCCUACGGGAGGCAGCAGUAAGGAAUAUUGGUCAAUGGAGGCAACUCUGAACCAGCCAUGCCGCGUGCAGGAUGACGGCCCUAUGGGUUGUAAACUGCUUUUAUACAAGAGAAAACCCUGGUACGUGUACCAGGUUGAUAGUAUUGUAAGAAUAAGCAUCGGCUAACUUCGUGCCAGCA